AGCAGCCGCGGUAAUUCCAGCUCCAAUAGCGUAUAUUAAAGUUGUUGCAGUUAAAAAGCUCGUAGUUGAAUUUCGGGAUCAAUACGUCGGUCGUGCCUUCGGUACGCACUGGCGUCGUUGAUUUCUCCCUUCUGAUGAACCAUGAUGUCAUUAAUUUGGUGUUGUGGGGAGCCAGGACUGUUAUUUUGAAAAAUUAGAGUGUUUAAAGCAGGCAAACGCUUGAAUACAUUAGCAUGGAAUAAUGAAAUAGGGCGUUCGGACCUAUUUUGUUGGUUUCUAGGUACAACGUAAUGAUUAAUAGGGAUAGUUGGGGGCAUUAGUAUUCAAUUGUCAGAGGUGAAAUUCUUGGAUUUAUUGAAGACUAACUACUGCGAAAGCAUUUGCCAAGGAUGUUUUCAUUAAUCAAGAACGAAAGUUAGGGGAUCGAAGACGAUCAGAUACCGUCGUAGUCUUAACCAUAAACUAUGCCGACUAGGGAUCGGAUGAAGUUAAUUUUUAA
RNAcentral lists this ribosomal RNA (499 nucleotides) under uncultured Glomus. RNAcentral's name for it is "SSU rRNA". It matches the Rfam family "Eukaryotic small subunit ribosomal RNA", at positions 569 to 1073 of the family's 1831-position model. The record is from RNAcentral. Lineage: Eukaryota; Fungi; Glomeromycota; Glomeromycetes; Glomerales; Glomeraceae.